GGGGAUGCACUAAUAAUUUCGUUCCUUUGUCACCGGAGUCACCAUCGCUGUCAGUGAUAAGGAGAUACUUUUCGUUUGAAAAAGCGACUUCCUUGAACACCACCAUUGCAUCAAGAUUAACCUGCAGCAAAAGGAAGGAAAAAGAAAGUUUGGUUAAAAUGGCAUGGUCGAAGAUAGUAAAAGCUUCUUGAAUUUUUGGGUGAGUUUUAUUGAAGUGGGUAGUCGUGUCUUAUUCUUCAUGUACUCCUCAAGCCAUGAUAUGGCUCUCGUGGGAGUUUGCGGUUGCGCCUUCUUCAAAUUUCUUGGUUGCACCGUCUUCAUGUACUCCUCAAGCCAUAAUAUGGCUCUCGUGGGAGUUUGCGGUUGCACCUUCUUCAAAUAUUGGUCGCACCUCCUUGGUGUACUCCUCAAGCCAUAAUAUGGCUCUCGUGGGAGUUUGCGGUUGCACCUUCUUCAAAUUUCUUGGUCGCACCUCCUUGGUGUACUCCUCAAGCCAUAAUAUGGCUCUCGUGGGAGUUUGCGGUUGCGCCUUCUUCAAAUUUCUUGGUCGCACCUCCUUGGUGUACUCCUCAAGCCAUAAUAU
RNAcentral lists this long non-coding RNA (583 nucleotides) under Coffea arabica (coffee). Its description in RNAcentral is "long non-coding RNA (CARA_LNC003570)". Lineage: Eukaryota; Viridiplantae; Streptophyta; Magnoliopsida; Gentianales; Rubiaceae. The record is from RNAcentral.